UACCUUCCACCUUGCCAUCAUAUUCUUCUUCUCAUCAAGGGUAGAGUAAUCAGGGUUAUGAUGGACAACGUGUCCUGCAUAUUCUGCACCAACAGAUUUGAGGAAGCAAGGUCCCCCCCUCCUUGUGCGCUGAAGCUAUGAAUCUAUGGAACUGGUGCAUAACCCAUAUUUCAGCAGUUUACCUCCCAGGCAUUCAGAAUACCACAACCGAUGCUCUUAGCCAACCCUUUUCAAGACACUUAGUUGUGGUAAAAUUCAGUAAUUAAUGCUUUUAAAGGCAAUUUUUGUUUGUACAUUUGUCGUUUGCUUCUCAAGAAAUGGAUCUAGGGCUAGUAAAAGUGCUUAACAUAUGUACUAGUACUGUGGAGGAGGGAGGGAAGGUAAAUGCACAUAUACCUCUGUAUUUGAGCAAAGAUAAGAGUAGGUUUAUUAAGUAAAAGUUUAUGCAUUUCUAUUUUAGUGAAGUUGUAAUGCAAACAAUGUUCUGUAAUUUAAACAAGAAACUCCUUGUGUUUAAUAUCUGGCCAUUUUUGCACAUGGCAUAAAUUGGGGUAGCGCUAUUGACUUUCAUGGAACUAUGGUGAGUUACACCAGCUGAGGAUCUUUGUCUACAGUGCACUCUUAUGUAGCCUUACAUUUGCCAUGUAGGAAAAGAUACCAUCAAACAUAACAUACAACUUAACGGGAUGUGUCGUGAAAGGCUACAGGAAAUGUGCUGACCACUAGUACGUACCUAACAUGCAAAAAUACAUACAUUUUGCUGCAAGAAUUUUGCUACAGCAGAAGCAGCUGGGGUGAGGAGUUAAGGCAAAUGUAUUUUGUGGCUCAUUGUCAUAGAAGAAUAUCAUGUGGAAUAUGCCAGUGGAACUCUGAAUCCUUAUUUGGCCCAAGAGUAACAGAAGCUAAGUAAAGACCAUAAGGAGUGUAGCCAAAACAGUCCAAAACAAGAUCAGCAUUUUAAGUGAACCUUGGAAAAAUGAUUGUGUGAUCAGACACUGCGCUGCAAGCAAGAAUACCCAUUUGGUAAUUGUAGUCGUGGACAAAAAGUUGAAUGCUGUGCUUUCAGUAACUUAUCAUUGAGACCUUGUGGUUUCUGUGUAGGAGGGCUGUACAAGCUGGACAUGUUUGACAUCCUUAUUUCUGAGCUGUGAAAUCUGUUCAUCUAACUUAUGAAAAUUACUUCUGCUUUUAUUUUAUUAUUUUAUUUAGUGAAGUCAAUGCCAUAUUUUCCUUGCAUUCAGUGGAAACAAAAACAAUGUCUUAGGGUAUGCUGUGAACCUGCUUUGACCUCCUAAGAGAAAAGGAUGAAUAUGUUCAUUUCUAUGAUUAACAGUCAAGAUGCUUUUCUUAUAGAAGUAAGCUUAAAUAAAAUACUAUAACCAGUUGAUCGGAGAGAGGGGAGCAUCUCUCUGAUGUGGAGAUAGAAGAUUCAUUACUAGGCCAUGUUAGUAUUACGUUUUUAAUCCUUGGUUUUCUACUGUAAGUGUGAUCGUAACAUAGAACCAUGUAAAUACCUGUAGUUCUUUUAGAGGGCUCAAUCCAGUUCUUCAUAUUGAAAAUGGAUUACUUUGGGAUGGGGAGGUCUGAAUAGUCUUCCCAUGCUAUAGAGCCGUAGUAAGUCACUCCUGCACCUCUGUUCUGCUAGUAAUAGAUCCACUGGCGUCAGCCUGUCUCUUCCCCCAGGCCGCCACUCCUCUAGCUGCUAUGAAGAUACAUACCAGGAGCCCCCAGAGAGCUGAGAUGUGUAGAAUGCAGAGCAUUUGGGCCUGUGUGGGUUCAGCAAAUCCUGUCUCCGCUCAUUGUCCUACAUAGCAGAACCCCACCAACUGCACCACACAUGGGGCCUUCUGCAGGGGCAAGAUCAGUGCCCAUGCAGCCAAUACAUCAUACUCCAAAAUGAAGCAAUAGAAUGAAUCAAAUCCUAUGCAUAUGAAAGAGACCACUCAAAGAUUCAAAACAGAUCCACAGUCUUUCUUGGAUAUGUCUAUACUACAAAUGCUACAGCAACACACUACAGCUAUGCUACUAUAGUGUAGACACUAGAGCAAGGGAAGUGUUUUUUCCUGUUCUUUAGUAAAUCCACCUGCCUUUUGAGAGUCUGAUGGAAGAAUUCGUCUGUUGACGUAGCUGCAUCAGCUGUGGGUGUUAGGUUGACCUAACUACAUCCCACAGGCUGGGAAAUUUUUCACAGCCCUGAGUGAUAUAGCUAGGAUGACCUAAGUUUUAGGUGUAGACCAGACCCUGGCAAAAUAGAAGAGGAACUAGUACUUUUGUGGAUGUUUCACCCCAUCUGUUUUCUGCCACCUCAUCUGUGGCAGAAAAAUCCACCUGAAAGCAUUAAAGACAAUAGAACCCUUUUGCAUGCAUUUUGUGUUAAAGAUUUAGAGUGUGAUUAUCACUGAACAAUCAUUUUGGAAAAGAUGACCAUGAGAAGCUCAUGUUACUAACUCUGAUUUUUGUAUCUCAAACAUGGCUUUGCAAAUAAAAAGAUCAGAUAUGUUCAUUUUUAACUAAUUUUCUCAAUGAUCUCUGUUUCAGACAUGCUCCUUUGCAGGUAAAAAGGUAGGUGUGUGUGUGUGUGUUUGUGUGUUAAGUGCCAGGCUUGCAAAAUCUCCCUUGGAUCUGAAAAUCAAGGGGGUGAUACUGCUCAUGCUUACUCAACACAAUCUGAACAAAGAGAGGCACGUAAUAGUGGUAAGCAGUUGAGGUAUAUGGUUGGAAAAUAGUAAACUUGCUAUAUUAAAAUAUCCAUGUGUCAGGGACAUUUUGUGCUACUAACCAAGUACUUGUAAUAAACAUCUCUAAGUGAAAAACUAAAUUUCCUAUGGAGACAACAAGUUUGUCAAUAGUCCAACUUGUGGAAAAAUCAUUUGAGACACAGGGAUAUAUACAGUGAUGGCCAGCCAAUCCAAGUCUUAUUGAAGUCAGUGAGGUCCUUUGGAAGUUAAGGCUUUAAGUGUAAUCACUAUGUACAAAUGCCUAAGGGCAAUGCAGGAGACAAAGUGAAAAUCCAGAUUUUUCAAUAUGCUGAAGUACUCUGUAAACAGGUUCAGCAUCACAAGAUUCUCUCUGUCUAGUCCAAAUGCUCAUCAUUUCAUAUAUUGAGUACUACACCAGUACUCGUCUCCAGCCUGGACAAAUGCACUCUUGCCCUGUUCAUCUCCAUUCAAAAUGCUGUUAUAAUCACUUUCCUGGCUCAUUGCUUUGAUGAGAUCACCCCUCUCCUUGCAUCCAUCUACUGGCUCCCUCUUUUCCAUCAGAUCAAACACAAACUACUAGUCUUCACUUUUAAGAUUUGUGACUAGGCUGGUCAACUCCCAUGUGCCCCCUCAUGGCCUUGGGUAACAGUACAAGCAGCCUGCCUCAGUGUCCAGCCUUGAAGUUUUAUUUGAACAUGGCACCCAGGCUUUUUGUGAUCAAGAAUACCUGUCCUUGAGACCUGGGUUUAUUAAUAUAGAAAUAAACUUCACAUAAAAUGCAAAGUCCCAAAACAAAGUCUAUCCAAAACAAAAGUGGUUGAAUCUCCUCCCAGCAUUCCUGUCUGGGGGUCUUUCCUGCUUUUGCAGGCCCCAUGUGCCAGUCCUAGUUCCCAGGACACUCUGGUAGAACCUGCUCACUUCUAGUUCUGAUCCCCAAGUAUUCUCCUUUUCACUGGAACCUUCUGCUGCUCUUUAUAGAGCAAGCAACUGAUCUCUCCCAGGUGUGGCUCCUUAGUAAUCAGGGUUGGCUGGCCAUAGGCUUUCCAGCCCUUAGGUGCAAGUUGCCCUGUUACAAGACCCUUCAAUACUUAUCCCUGCGCCACCUAUUAUCUCUUUAGGCUAUUGAGAUGGCCACUCCUGCCUUUGCUCUGCCUGUGCUGCCAGAAGUUUUUGCACAUCUGUUUAAAUUUUCAAACAAGCACCUUUGAUUCCUCCCAGACUGCCCAUCAGGCAUGGAAAGAGCUCUGUGGAAACAUCUACAAAGCCACCUCACUGUUCUCCUUCUAAGUCUUCCUUAAAACUCUUCUCCUCAGUGCUUACAGAAAAUGUGGUGUGCUGUGACAGGCAGCUUGUGUGCUGUGAACAAUGAUUUUCCUGCUCCUCAGUUCUGGCUCAUUAUUACCUUGUGCUCACCUUCUCUUUUGUCUUAAACUGUAAGCUCUUCAGGAUAGGGACUGUCUACUUGUUAGAUGUGUGUCUGGUGCCUAGCACAAUGAGGCCCUGUUCCAUAACUAAGCACUACUGCAAUGCAAAUAAAAGUGUUGACCCUUAGAACAAGUGGAAAACCAAAAUUCAGGGCCUUGUAGGUCAGUUCUGUUUGAGUGAAAAAUCAGUGACCCAGAAAUCCUUGAUGUAAUCCAUUUAUUUACAGAAAUAUACACAAAGUCUUCUCUCCAUGAUCACAAACAGAGAGCACACAGGUAGCUUCCUUGCUAAACUAUCCCUAGGUGAGUCCCUCUAGUCGUCACUGUAUCUGAGGAGAGGCUGGCUCUGCUUUCUUUCAGGAUCAUACACCUAAAACUCUUCAGCUAAUGUACUCACACAGCCCACAACACUCCCUACCCUCUGUAUUUGGAAUCUCUAGGCUGGCUGGCUGCGGACAUUAGCCUCGAAGAUGUCUCUUUAAGGGUCCUCUGGGUGGUUACUUCAGUUGCCAAUAACCUUACUAAGCAGCCAUAAGCCCCUUUCACAACAACAAUAAUAACCAUCACCACUUCGGGAUACGAGCUGCUGCUUCUGGAUCACACAUGAGGAGAUGCUGCCCUUAUUACUGAGUAUAUGUGGCUGAGCUACUAAGUAAUAGUGACCUUAAAAUAAUUACAUUAGAUUUCCUUGCAGGGAGGAUGACAAGUGAUGGUCUUGAGACAUUGGAGCCUGGCCUACCCUAUGAAGGUUUACCAGUAAGACUUGCCUUAUGGGGGAAUAUCUUUGCAUGUAUCCACACACAAUUUUGCAUCCUGUCAGUAAAACCCUCCUAUUCUGCCAGUCAAAUUAAACCACCUCCCCAAACCACAUAAGCCCUGUACCAACACUGUUCUGUUGGUACAUUGCCUGCGUUGACACUGCAUUACCCCAUCCAAUAUAAACCAUCCUCUAGCAACAAUCACACCAUGCCCCUGUCCCAGUGACAGCGACGGCAGUGGUCCAAUUUUGAACUCUGCUGCUCAGAGCAUGUGGCUCCAAGGGUAGGAUGGUGCUACAGGGUUUCCCUCGCGAUUCCAAACACAGGGACUAGGGGCCUUGGUGUGGGCUGCCAGACCAGAAGCCUGCCGCCCACUGUAACCUCCCCAGCCUGUUCUGGAAAUUUGUCUCCCAGUGCACAGGUCCGUCACCAGAUGGAGCUACGGCUAAGUUCAGGCAAGCCUCAUGCUGCAGCCUGGGUCAAGAAAGGAGGUCUGGACUUCCUCAGCCUGAGGAAAGAAGGGGCAGCGCAAGCCCCACUGUGGAAUUGCCAUAGGAAUAAAGUUGUUUGUUCUGACAUUACAAAGAAGAAACUAAAGGUGGGGGUAGGCCAGGGAUAAGGAGCAAUACCAGGAAAGGGGGAAGGAAACUAUAGCAGUCCUAUCAAAAGGCAAUGGAGGUUUCCUGCGACACUUGAUAUUAUUAUGAUGCUGGAUGCCAUACUGGGCAGGGACCCCACACAACCACCCUGUGAGGGACAGUGGACUGAAAUCCAGAGACAGCAGCCUCCAGUAGCUCACAGCAAUGAAGAACUCAUACAAAGGAUGCUGAUCCCAUGGAAAGCCAGGCGCUCUUCAACAGCCAGUCAAACCCAACCCAGACAAAUCCUGAAGUGGAACCAGUGGAACCCACUGAUGAGGGAAAGGGGGCUCAGGUAAAUGUAUUAAUUCAUGCUGCUUUUAAAAAAAAAAGUGUGUUCACAGGCUCCAAAAUCCCCCCCCCCUUUUUUCCUGCCCUCUUCUCCCUCUUAAAAUGGUGGCUGAAUGCAUGCAGGCAGCAAACAAAAUAAAUUGCUUUUUGGACUAGUUGGUUUAUUUUAACAUUCAUUGGCACUAGGAGGCAAAAAAAUAAGACAAUAUGAUAAGCAACAGAAAAACAUUCUCACAUGCAUGCUAAUGUCAGGGUAGGCAGAUAGAAUGUCUAGCAAUACAAGUUGAUGUAUUCUUGUAAACGGAACAUGAACUACGCUCAAGCCUAUAUGCAAGUGUUAAAAUAAACUUAGAAAAUUUAAAAUAAUCCUUGCAAGCAAUCCAGUAAAUGGUAAUUAAUAGUACAUAUUUUUAUGAAUAAAAUUGUAAAGCAAACAUAUAAUAACAUAAAAACACUGUACUUUGUUUUUCCAGGCUGAGUCCAAGUCCAAAAUAAAUUACUUGCAUGCUGAUCUUGGAUUCAGGGGUAGAAAUGACUUAUUGCUGGCUCAUGGGGUUUAGCUUUGAAUGCGUUUGCAGAACUAAACAGUGAUAACAGCCCUUCUUUUUCAGAGUUUUAGGUUGACCUUGAUGAGAAUAUUCCUUUAGUCUUCUGGUACAGUCUAGAUAAAGUUGUCAAGUACGUAUUCAUUAAACUCUGACCGAAAAUUUCUCAGAAAAGCGGCCUUGUUCCUCAUGCUGCAGUAGGGCAUCUUCCCACACUGCUCUCAGUGAAUUCUAGUGGCACCAUCACUUUGAAGAAACCAGCAAUGUACAGGCCAGAUGGCCUCAAGCAGUUGCCUUCUCUGGGCCUUUGCCACCCUCAGGAGUGAUAUCUAAGCCAGGUUCACCGCUGCCUUUUAUAAAUUUUACAAUAUUUACUGUACUAUCCCUACACUUAUUACUUGACACAUGACAGUUCACCCUCACCCCCUUUACUACAGAUUUUGAAAUAUACCCUCAUAUAAUCACCAUGUGGGGAGCUGCUGCUAUGAUUGGUUUUCCUCCCCUUUCUCAUCUAUCUGCUACACCUUCUACCAAGUUUGGCUUUCCCCUUGUCUUUGUUAUCCUCUUUUAUGUUCUAGCUCUGCUGAGUGCCUCUGGAGGAAGCCCCAUGGCUACGCCUCACUGUAAAUUGUCUUUAACAAGCAACAAGAAGCUGAAACAAUUCUACUUUUCCCUGAUAUACUCACAUGCCUCUAUCCCUUGAGAAUUCCUUAAUUUAUCAUACCCUACGUCUUCCUCUCUGACAUGCUCUGUUGUCUCCUCUAUUCCCAGGAUCUUGCCAAUUAUUUUAAAGUUAGGACUAACAUAUAAGUGGCACAAGGACUCAAUUCCCUCUUCCUCAUUUCUAUUAUCCCUUUAUCUGACUUAUGUGAGUCUCUCACCACACAACCUGUCCCUUUGGCCCCCCUCCCCUCCCAUGUGCUGUCCUUCAUCUCUCAACUUUGCUUCACCCUGGCUUCUUUGCUUUUACUUUCACAAAAACACUUAAUCACACUUGCUUCUUCAGUAUCCAUCAUAAUUCCCGCCUCCAUUUUACCACUGUGCUCCUUGUGCUUGAUUCUGUUUUCUCCAAUUCACUCCCUGAUUAGUUUCAUUCUGGCCUCAGACCACUCCUCACUAAUGAAAGUGUUCUAACCAGAACAGUCCUGGUUCAGUUCCAACACCAUUGCAGUGUCAGUCCAGGUCUUUUUAGACUUUUCUGUCUCCCAGUGCUCCCCCAAGCAUAUUUCUUACCUUUAAGAGAGCUCAAAAAAUAACUUAUUUUAAUAAAGCUUGUAAAGCUUUUGGCUAGGUACUCCAUAACAUGUAUAUAAUUUAAUACUCCUAUUGUGUAACUCUGAAAUACCUCACAGAAGCAUCUAUACCUUCCUUUUUCCAAAAGAUGAAAGCAACUAUCCGUUGUAGAUGGGGGAAUCCCGUUGCUGUUCAAGAUGACAAGUACCAAAAAAAGAGGAUUUUUUUUUUUAAAAACAAAGAACAAUCUGACUGUGAUACAUCAUGGCCAGAGGGCAGCAGAAGAGUGUUAGAAGGGAGCCUUAUUCCCUGUAGAGAGAAGAAAGUUUGCUAUAAUUAAUUAAAGCACCUGAAGCCAGUCACAUGAUAAACCCCCCCCCCCCUGCUUCAAUCAGACAAGAGGAGGAGUUGAAGCAGAGUGGAUUGGUGUUAGAGCAGAGAGAAAUUUGGAGGGAAGCUGAGGAGAGUUUGGAGAAGUGCUGUAAUAGGCUAAGAAGACCAAGACCCUAGAUGCCCUGAACUUGGAUCAGUGAAGCCAGUCAGUGGAAGGAGGAUCAGGCCCAUAAUGACUACUCUUCAAUCAGGACCUGAUCUUGCAAGACCUACCACUUUUACAAUGAGCUGCAUGCCAUUCUUGGAAGAGAGCCCCCCAGCAAUCCACAGACUACCAUGGAUAUCCCCAACGAGUUCAAGACUUAGACCCCUGCCAUGAACUGCAAGGAGGACAGUGGAGCACAUGCAACACAGGGGAAGGAGAGGGAUCCAGCUAUGCUGCAAUUCAGGACCUGUUCAAGGCUCUGCAGCAGUCUAGCCAGUCCAGGCAGCCAUGCACAUGCAAGCCUGAUGUAGAGGAAGGAAUCUCGGGUAACGGUUUGAAUGCAUUUUCCAUUAGUGUUUAAAUGUACUGAUGGCGCUCAACCCCAGCUUUGCAGGACAUUAGUAUUGACUUUUCAUUGUUUUACUCGUACUAGAAGUAAUGGUACAACAAACAGAGAUAGAACUGUCUGAUUUUCAUUCCCCAAUAAGGAUAGAUGUGUGGAGUCCAUGCAGAGCAGUUUGUUUAUAUACAUAGGGAUGUCCCUUGAAUCCUCCUGAGAGAUCUUGGUUAAACUUUCAUGGAGGUACUCUGCAAUCCUCUCUGGAAGGUUUCGAGGGGUAUCAGCGUUAAUACUUCCUCCCCAAUAGGACACUUUCCCACCCCAGUCUAUGAUGACUUCAGCAGUAAACAGACUGGCAGCAUAUGGGCCUGAGUAGCUUUGGGAUGCCUGCAGCAGCUAUGCUCUCUGUGCCUUUGUUACCAUCAGCAAGAUAUCAGCUAAAAUCUCCACCUGUGGAAAACCGUGCCAGUACUCAGUGCCAGUGCCCUGCACUUGUACACAUGGAAAUAGGGGCUGAAAUUUUAUUGUUUCAUCCGGCUGAACAAUUCCCACCUCAUUCCACCCCCAUCCUCACUCCCCACCCCUGCCCACACACACACGCACAUGCCCCUGCUGGGCUAUACCCAUGGCUGGCACUGGAGAGCAGUGCUGUACAGAGGCGCUCCAAAGCUGAAAUGCCAAUUGGCAUGUCUUUGUUUAAAACUUUAGGGAUGCAAGGAAAGGGAGUUCUAAAACUUAAAUUUCACCUUCAGUUUUAAAUAUAAAUGAUACCUCUGUGUGUUUUACCUGUAGCUGUUGUGGUCUUGAGCGUCCCCUCUCUGCACCUGGGGAAUGCCUGACCAUGAUAAGGAGGAGAAAGAAGAGGACACGGGAGGAGAUGCUCGGUGAAAUCCUGUAAGCCAGUGUUGCAUCAGAUUGUGAACAGAGCGUGGAGGGUUAAUAUUUCAGGCAUUAUGGUGAAAAAGUUUGGACAGGUAAAAGGACCAGGAUUCCCAGCAGAAAAAGAAGGAGAUGCACCUGGACAUAAUGGGACUUCUGUGGCAGCAAACACAGAUGCUGCAGACUCUUGCUGAAAUGCAGGUCUAACAAUCACAGGCUCACUUCCCUUUGCAGUCAAUGGAGAACUCCAUUUUAGCACCUCCCUAUGCCCUCCAACAUUUCAGGUGGUAUCGGGGGUAGCAUCCUUACCACUCCACAGGGGGCUCCGGUCAGGACAAUUACAGUUUCACAUACAUUGACCUAUGAAAGCCACAGUUGCUAUAUAUGUAGCCAAAAUGGACAGAAAUGUCCUUUCCACUUGUUAAGUGCUGUUACAAUAAAAACUUCUGAAGUAGUUAAUGUA
Molecule: long non-coding RNA, 9808 nt
Organism: Dermochelys coriacea (leatherback sea turtle)
Lineage: Eukaryota; Metazoa; Chordata; Testudines; Dermochelyidae
Exons: 5
Source: RefSeq, a predicted model, not a curated record